Molecule: small nuclear RNA, 106 nt
Organism: Choloepus hoffmanni (Hoffmann's two-fingered sloth)
Lineage: Eukaryota; Metazoa; Chordata; Mammalia; Pilosa; Megalonychidae
Source: Ensembl
GUGCUUGCUUCGGCAGCACAUAUACUAAAAUUGGAAUGAUACAGAGAAGAUUAGCAUGGCUCCUGCAGCAAGGAUGACGCAAAUUCGUGAAGAGUUCCAUACUUUU